Long non-coding RNA from Chinchilla lanigera (long-tailed chinchilla), 1123 nucleotides. RefSeq lists it as uncharacterized. The transcript is spliced from 2 exons. NCBI's taxonomy places the organism in Eukaryota, Metazoa, Chordata, Mammalia, Rodentia, Chinchillidae. The record is from RefSeq and is a predicted model, not a curated record.
UCAAGAAGACAAAAAAAAAAAACCAAAAUAACACACAAAAAAACUAUUACUUAAGGGAUUGUUGGAAAUAAUAUAUGUAUCUCCAGCUUAUAAAAAUUAAAAUUAUUAUUAUAGAAAUUAGGACUCCAUAAAGCCUAUACUUCAGAUAUAGGAGGAAUUGUAAGUGGCCAAGUUGAGGAGACAAUAAAAUUACUGUAGUUUCUAACCUCAAAGGGAAGGUCUCACUCCACCCCCAACUGCUUAUGAAUGCUAUUUAAAAUGGGAAAACUGACGUGUUUUAGGCAUUAAGCCAGUCGUGAAGUCUACAUUAGGGCACAAUUUUACCUCCUAGGCAGGGACUGGCUAGCAUGCAGGGAGAUGACAUUUCCCGGCCUCCCCUGCAGGCUGGCCAUGUUACCCAAAGCAAUGGGAGUGAAUGAUAGUGUGCUGUUUCCGCGCCACAGCUCGAAACAAACGGGCUUCCUCCUCACUCUUCCUUUUCUGCUGCUUUGGAUAUAAAUAACUGUCACAGCCUAGGCCCACUCCUGUCAGGGCUCUAAGAGAAUGGAGGGCAAUGCUAGAAGGCCUCCAUUGUAUGCAGUGAAUAUGAAAAUAGUCACCUAAUUCAUUUUCAUUUUGUUUAUAAUAAAUUAAAAAGAAACGAGAUCUGUUACAGCAGCUAAUACUACCUCAACUAACUGAUCACCCUAAACUGACUCUCCUUUAAUAUAUAUUUUUUGUUUGUUUUUUCUUCCAGUACCAGGAAUCGAACUCACGACCUUGCGCUUGUCAGGCAGUGUCCCUCUGCCACACCAUCCUGCCUUGGAGCCAGCGACUGUGGAGUGAAGCCUCUACAGACUGAGCCAAAACAAACCUUUCCUCCUUUAACUUGUGGGCGUCAGGUAGUCUGUGUCAGAACAAGCAAAGUAACUAAGAUGUUCAUGUUUCAGUGAUUAAAAGGAAGGCACACAAAUUGAAUAACUUACAGUUUUUUCUUAACAAAAUACAAAUGGUUUAUACAAUUCUUCUAUGGUAGUUUUUUACAAUCAGUCAAUAACAAAGUAUAAUACAAUCAGUCAAUAACAAAGUAUGAUUUUAAUUUUAAUAAAAAGAGUCUAUUUGAAAAUUAUGAAUUCAAUUACAA